Ctenopharyngodon idella (grass carp) is the source of this 4195-nucleotide RNA transcript. RefSeq lists it as uncharacterized. Lineage: Eukaryota; Metazoa; Chordata; Actinopteri; Cypriniformes; Xenocyprididae. The record is from RefSeq and is a predicted model, not a curated record. The transcript is spliced from 2 exons.
CAGACAUGAACAAUUGUCUUUGCUAAACAGUGUCAACAAAAAUACAAUUGAUAUUUCUCUAAGACAGCAUAUGAAAACUGGUUACUGGUCUCUUAAUACUGAACACUGAAGUCUGCAUGAUUUUCAAUGCGUUACAGCUAGAAGAUAGACAAGAUCUGCACUAUACAAGGCCUACAGCGGUGAGCUGCCAGACCAAUCAACCCUGAACCCUAAAGCUGCCUAUGCUGAUUUCAAUCCAGACUCCCUUCCCCUUAUCUGCACAAUGAAUGUCUCACCUGACAAGCCACUUGUGGACUCCAUCUACCAUCCAAGCCGGUAGUAUCCUAUCGUAUCAGCAUCCACCACCUACACCCGAUGGGGUUAUCACCCAUAAGGACGCACCCCCAUUUCCAAAAGUGCCACUAGAGGGCUACCAGUUAAAGCCAACAGAUUGUACACAUGUGCCAACAAACCAGGAACAGCUGCAUCUCAAUUCACUGUCUGUGACUUUGUCACAGUCACACCUCAUAGAAGAAGCAACAAGAAUCCAAAGUGCAGUACCUGAAUGGCAUUCACUGAGGAAGGAGAGGGUGACUGCUUCAAAUUUCAGGGAAGUUAGCCACGUUAGAGGUCCAAAUGCUGCAGAAAACCUAGCUGAGAGGAUCAUCCGAGGGAUGCGACAAACAGCACACAUGAAGAGGGGACUGGAUAUGGAGGCAGGUGCCUUAAACGACUAUGCAACUCUGAAAAACCUAAACUUGAGGAAAUGUGGACUGGUGAUUCAUCCAGAUGCACCUUGGCUGGGUGCGUCACCUGAUGGGCUGGUAUAUGACCCGCUUGAGAGACCAUCAUUUGGCUUGGUUGAACUAAAAUGCCCAAAUGCACCAAGCUACAUUGACUGCAGGUACCUCAAAGCUGACCACGGCAUAUAUAAAUUGAAGGAAAGCCAUCCAUAUUAUUCGCAAGUGCAGGGGCAGUUGCUUAUCACGGGUAUGGAAUGGUGUGACUUUGUUGUCUGUGCCCAUGAUGAUAUGUUUGUGCAGCGCAUUUACAGAGACACUUUUGUGUUCAGUUCCCUGAAACAGGGGUGUGAUUUGUUUUUCUUCUAUACAUACCUGCCAAAAUACCUCUCUAUGCACAAGUAAAAGAGGAGGCACAGUGCUGAGGAAAUGAAGACAUGAAUUAUACAUGAUUUUACAAAUGUGGUGUUUUAUUUUGUCAGAUCUGUUUAAAGUAUUUGUUUCAAAGUUCUAUAGUUGUUGACAAUUUCAUUUCAAAUUAUGUACAGUAUUUACAGUGAAAUGGCAUCUGAUGCACAGAAGCCAAUGGCACAUGCUGCUGGGCAUGUGCCACCAUCGUGUAACACUGACACUGAGUCACAGAACAUGUUGCAGUAUGUCAUGACGCUUCCAGUAGCGACUGACAGAUGACUUGAGCAGCUAUACUAAAUUAGGCUAUUUAUUUAGGAUUUAAGUCACUAUUAUGACAGUAUAGAUGCUCAAGUCAUCUGCCUCCAAAAGGCCAUCAAGUGGGCGUGAGUCGCAAACCUGUGGGACAUAUUUCCUUUGAUAUGUUAAAUGUCCAAAGAACAGGGGUCCUUAAUUCUGGACCUCGAGAUCCACUUUUCUGCAGUUUUGCUCAACCCCAAUCAAACACACCAGAACAAGCUAAUCAAGACCUUCAUGACUACUACAACGUUACAGGUAGGUGUGUUUAAUCCAGGUUAAAGCUAAACUUUGCAGGAAAGUGUAUCUUGAGGUUGAUGACUUUAAUUGACUUAGUUGACUUUAAUUUCUAGCUAUUCUUAACAGCCUGGGUAAUUUUAUAUUAACCUGAUAAACACUUAACACAUUGUCUGCUUACCUUGUGUAAAACCAAAUGUCAUCAUCGGAGGCCGCAAACCGCUCCAAACAGAACUUGCUGUUGAGGGUUAUCUCCUCUAUUUGUUUUCGGAGCUUUGUUAUUUCCACAUGUAGAUCUUCAGUGUGCUCCAGGGACAAAUCCAAGGCAGCAGGCUCAGCAGUGGAGCAGUAGUCAUGGUCGUAAGAUUCCGCAUCCAUAGAGGGGGCAUCACCAGUGUGCAAUGUGUCUGUGUUUAAUCGCGUUAUCCUUUCCCAAACUCCGGUCCGUGGGGCUGGAAGAGUGAAGUUAUUCCACUGAAAAAGCACCGGGACAGCGCCAUUCUUCAGACGUCUGCGUCCUGCUGGAGUUUGAGGCUCAAUGAGGUCUGCACUUUGGAAAUGUCGGCUGCACACUCUUGUCUGGCUUGUAACUGUAAAACUGUCGCGUUGUAUGUUAACUAUCCACCUCUUCUGUGUUUCCUUAUCUUUGGGAAAUGUGUGAAAACUGAGAAACCUGUUAAAUGUAGCAGAUGCAGUACACUGCGGCACACAGCAGUGGUAGCUAGAAGUGCUGUCCUCCCGUCUUUGAAAAGAUACUUUUAUACGUUUAGAUGUCAUUAUGAUAUAAAAUAAUAUAUAUAAAAUAAACAAAUGUAUAUAUCUAUAUAAAAUGAAGCAUCAACAAAAUAAGCUCUAGCUGUUUUGGUGACUAGCGUUCCUUUAAUGGCAUAGCACUCUACGAUCGGCGGAAGUAUUCGAGCAUUCUAAGAUUUCACCGGAAGUACGUCACGCGCCGCCGUGCAUAGAGCCCAUUGAGAAUGACUGACAGCCGCAGCGGAGGGAGGCAUUUACGUCAACUUUAAUUUAACGACUUAAAUAUUUAUCUGUACCUCAAAUUAAACUAUGGAAUGGCUUCAGAACACUUGGAAUAUAGUGCACAGAAACUUUCUGAUGCUUUUUAAUGUUUUUGUGCCUUUUGUGGAGCCUAACAAUAACACAGACUAUGUAUUACAGCCAUAUACUGAUACGCACAGUAUCGAAUUUGGAUCGGUCCCGUCCGGCCGAUACCCGAUCUGGCAAAAAUGGCAGUAUCGGAGCCGAUACCCGAUCUGAAUAUCGGAUCGGUGCAUCCCUAAUUGUAUGUCAUAGUCAUAACAGUUUUCAGAUGAGUUAUUUUAAAAAAAUGCUUUUGUGUGUGUAUUAAAGUUUUAAGUGGUUUAAAGUGUUUUAUAUUUUUAUACAUGUCUAUAAAUUAAAGCCGUUUUAUGAAAAACAACUUUUUAAUUAAAUCAAUUAUGUGGAUACAUUUCUUGUGAAGUAAAAAUGUAUGUUAAAAAUGAACUUUACUGUCAGGAAGUGGAAAAAGGGCAGACUCUGACUUUAUUUAUUUAUUUUUUACUUAAUUUAUUUAUUAAUUAAUUUAUUUAUCCAUGUAGAUGAUUUAUUUAUUGAAAGUGAAAGAUUUUAUGUUUAAAGUGUUGGUCUCAGCAUUGAAGGAAGGUAGACAGAGGGUCUUGUGUCCUCUGUUGAAGCUGUAUUCUAUACUAUAACAUAUGGUAACAAUUCAACAUCCGUGCCGCGAGAAAAAGUGGUGGGGACAAAAUCGACCCUGGCAAAAAGUGGUGGGGACAUGAUCCCACCCGUCCCACCCGCAAAUUACGCCUAUGGUGCCCCCAGUUUUCUUAAACGUACUUGAAUUAUUUAAACCAUUAAUAGAUAAUUAAUUGGCGGAGCAUUGCACUGCCUGUGCACAGCUAAUCAUAAGGUGUGUGCUCGACUUGAUCAGUUUCUGACUUAAGCAGUGUGUGCCAUCAAAGUACUGUGAAAGCGUUUCACGAACAGUCGCAGUUUCUCUAGGGCUGCACGAGCUCUGACGACGACCACAGUUAAUCCGUGCGUUUCAUGUUUAUUCUGACACGUUCAGUUCCACUAAUGCUCACAAAACCUGCUUUUACUAAAAACUCUAUUCAUUUAACAUUAAUGCCAUAGCAUAUUGUCAAGCCAUUUAAUAAAACUGAUACAUGAAAGUGGGCAAAAGAGGCACAUUAUUAUCACUUUUCCAACAUUAUUCUUAAAGUAAUGUAAAUUAUGUUUUCAACAAUAGCUGUAGCUCGAUGAGCGUGAGACUCCUGGCCUGCGGUUGUGUCCCAGACGGAAUUAAAUAAUUUGUGAAUCUUUGUAAAUAUUCGUGGCUUAAACAGCGGGAAAAUUUACUGUGAUGCAGUUCUGUGGAUGUUUUGCCCAGGCAGGGUUAUUAUAGUUAAUUAAAUAGCGCACAUUUAUGCCAAGCAAUUGCUAAUUGAGUUGAUGAAUUAUGAUUGUCUACUUUAUGGUCUUUAAUAAAAUACGUUUUAGACCAGUGGUCUCAAACUCAA